UGGGGAAUUUUGGACAAUGGGCGAAAGCCUGAUCCAGCAAUGCCGCGUGUGUGAAGAAGGCCUUCGGGUUGUAAAGCACUUUUGUCCGGAAAGAAAUCCUUGGCUCUAAUACAGUCGGGGGAUGACGGUACCGGAAGAAUAAGCACCGGCUAACUACGUGCCAGCAGCCGCGGUAAUACGUAGGGUGCAAGCGUUAAUCGGAAUUACUGGGCGUAAAGCGUGCGCAGGCGGUUUGCUAAGACCGAUGUGAAAUCCCCGGGCUCAACCUGGGAACUGCAUUGGUGACUGGCAGGCUAGAGUAUGGCAGAGGGGGGUAGAAUUCCACGUGUAGCAGUGAAAUGCGUAGAGAUGUGGAGGAAUACCGAUGGCGAAGGCAGCCCCCUGGGCCAAUACUGACGCUCAUGCACGAAAGCGUGGGGGAGCAAACAGGAUUAGAUACCCUGGGUAGUCCACGCCCUAAACGAUGUCAACUAGUUGUUGGGGAUUCAUUUCCUUAGUAA
This 500-nucleotide ribosomal RNA is filed under the name uncultured bacterium. RNAcentral describes it as "partial 16S ribosomal RNA". It matches the Rfam family "Bacterial small subunit ribosomal RNA", at positions 355 to 846 of the family's 1533-position model. The record is from RNAcentral.